UAUCAACGCUGGCGGCGCGCUUAACACAUGCAAGUCGAACGAGAAAGGGGAGCAAUCCCUGAGUAAAGUGGCGUACGGGUGAGUAACACGUGGAUAACCUACCCUCUGGUGGGGAAUAACCCUGGGAAACCGGGGCUAAUACCGCAUAAGUCCGGGAGGAGAAAGGCGCAAGUCGCCGGAGGAGGGGUCCGCGGCCGAUUAGCUUGUUGGUGGGGUAACGGCCUACCAAGGCAAAGAUCGGUAGCCGGCCUGAGAGGGCACACGGCCACACUGGCACUGAAACACGGGCCAGACUCCUACGGGAGGCAGCAGUGGGGAAUCUUGCACAAUGGGGGAAACCCUGAUGCAGCGACGCCGCGUGAGCGAUGAAGCCCUUCGGGGUGUAAAGCUCUUUCGACGGGAACGAUGAUGACGGUACCCGGAGAAGAAGCUGCGGCUAACUACGUGCCAGCAGCCGCGGUAAUACGUAGGCAGCGAGCGUUGUUCGGAGUUACAGGGCGUAAAGAGUAUGUAGGCGGUUGCGCGU
Molecule: ribosomal RNA, 526 nt
Filed under: uncultured bacterium
Lineage: Bacteria
Description: bacterial SSU rRNA
Rfam family: Bacterial small subunit ribosomal RNA
Source: RNAcentral